GUACACUCCUGCGGGAGGCAGCAGUGGGGAAUUUUGGACAAUGGGCGAAAGCCUGAUCCAGCAAUGCCGCGUGAGUGAAGAAGGCCUUCGGGUUGUAAAGAUCUUUUGUCAGGGAAGAAACGGUGAAAGCUAAUAUCUUUUGCUAAUGACGGUACCUGAAGAAUAAGCACCGGCUAACUACGUGCCAGCAGCCGCGGUAAUACGUAGGGUGCAAGCGUUAAUCGGAAUUACUGGGCGUAAAGCGUGCGCAGGCGGUUUUGUAAGUCUGAUGUGAAAUCCCCGGGCUCAACCUGGGAAUUGCAUUGGAGACUGCAAGGCUAGAAUCUGGCAGAGGGGGGUAGAAUUCCACGUGUAGCAGUGAAAUGCGUAGAUAUGUGGAGGAACACCGAUGGCGAAGGCAGCCCCCUGGGUCAAGAUUGACGCUCAUGCACGAAAGCGUGGGGAGCAAACAGGAUUAGAUACCCCGGUAGUCCCAUGAU
Molecule: ribosomal RNA, 479 nt
Filed under: uncultured organism
Description: partial 16S ribosomal RNA
Rfam family: Bacterial small subunit ribosomal RNA
Source: RNAcentral